Molecule: ribosomal RNA, 372 nt
Filed under: uncultured organism
Description: bacterial SSU rRNA
Rfam family: Bacterial small subunit ribosomal RNA
Source: RNAcentral
CGUAGGGCGCAAGCGUUGUCCGGAAUUAUUGGGCGUAAAGAGCUCGUAGGUGGUCUGUUACGUCUGCUGUGAAAACCUAGGGCUUAACCCUGGGCCUGCAGUGGAUACGGGCAGACUAGAGGUAGGUAGGGGAGAAUGGAAUUCCCGGUGUAGCGGUGAAAUGCGCAGAUAUCGGGGGGAACACCGGUGGCGAAGGCGGUUCUCUGGGCCUUACCUGACACUGAGGAGCGAAAGCGUGGGGAGCGAACAGGAUUAGAUACCCUGGUAGUCCACGCCGUAAACGUUGGGCGCUAGGUGUGGGGUCCUUCCACGGGUUCCGUGCCGCAGCUAACGCAUUAAGCGCCCCGCCUGGGGAGUACGGCCGCAAGGCUA